Molecule: non-coding RNA, 579 nt
Organism: Heterocephalus glaber (naked mole-rat)
Lineage: Eukaryota; Metazoa; Chordata; Mammalia; Rodentia; Bathyergidae
Source: RefSeq, a predicted model, not a curated record
UCAACUGCAGUGACCAGGACAUUACCACCAAAGCAGAACUUCUAAAACAGAAUUCUAAAAUGUUCUUCCCAUGCCUUGAUUUUAUCUCAAGGCAUCAAAAGGCAAGACUGCGGUCUGGGGCCAAAUGUGAAAAACGUCAUCGCCACAAAGGAGGAGAGCAGUCAAGGGCUUUUAAAAAUCAGAUCUCAAAUAAGGCCACCAACCAGUAUCAAUCAGUUUGUGAAACCAGGGUGUCUGCAGCCAGGGACAGACCGCGCUGGCUACUGUGAGCUACGGGAACAAAGGCUGGGGGGCUCAAAACGAGCCAGUGGCAGGGCUCACCUUCUGCUUUCUUCGUAGAUUUUAUCUUAUUUGCAUAUUUUUAGAUGAGAGACUAUGGCUGCGUUUGGGCACAACUCUGGGUGGACGCAGUCAGUGCCAGGAAACACACAGCAGCGCCCUGCGGGGUCCCCCGGGAGCUCCGAGUUCCCAGGCUGAAGGGAAGGAAUUGUUGCUCCUCUGCUGCCCUGUCUUAGAGCCAGGCGAUUAUGGACUGAAACCUCUGUGAACUAUAAGCCAAAUAAAACUUUCCCUUUCUAA